Molecule: unclassified non-coding RNA, 306 nt
Organism: Aotus nancymaae (Ma's night monkey)
Lineage: Eukaryota; Metazoa; Chordata; Mammalia; Primates; Aotidae
Gene: 7SK
Rfam family: 7SK RNA
About the family: 7SK was discovered as an abundant small nuclear RNA in the mid-70s but a possible function has only recently been suggested. Two independent studies have found that 7SK RNA binds the CDK9/cyclin T complex (known as elongation factor P-TEFb).
Source: Ensembl
GGUUGUGAGGAUAAUUUGAAUGGGACUUGUGUCAUCUUGUUGACAGCAGGGUGGAUUCCCUGAUAGCCUGGCCAGCUGCUUUGACUGCCCUCUUUGUCCUCACCAUGCCAUAGGCCCUCUCUGGAGCUUCCCUCAAGGUCAAAAAGGACAAUCCUCCAAAACAGAGAAGGGCCAGCCUCUGUGAAGUGCUCAAGUGCAGAGGCCAUAAUAUCUACCAAUUUCCACAGUGUUUGGCUCAGUAUGACUUUUUAAGAAGCCAUUUACAGAAUUAGAAGCAUUUCUACUUGUGGAAUACAGAGCAUAUAA